RNAcentral lists this transfer RNA (66 nucleotides) under Parabreviscolex niepini. Its description in RNAcentral is "tRNA-Trp". Lineage: Eukaryota; Metazoa; Platyhelminthes; Cestoda; Caryophyllidea; Caryophyllaeidae. The record is from RNAcentral.
GUUGUGCUAAGUUAGUCAGACUAAGUGUUUUCAAAACACUCAGCGGCCCGUUAUAGCCGCAUAACG